Poecilia latipinna (sailfin molly) is the source of this 683-nucleotide long non-coding RNA. RefSeq lists it as uncharacterized. The transcript has 2 exons. NCBI's taxonomy places the organism in Eukaryota, Metazoa, Chordata, Actinopteri, Cyprinodontiformes, Poeciliidae. The record is from RefSeq and is a predicted model, not a curated record.
UUAAUUUUAAUUUCUAAGCAUUUUUGUUUACACCAUGGAAGAUACAAAAUUAUAGGCUUUGUACAUGGUCAAUGCUGUUAUAAUCUCUACUAAAUCAUACAAUUUUAAAGUUUGCACUGUAAAAAAUGUUUCAUUACUUGGAUGAAAGUAAUGCAGCUAUCAUUAUUAUUCAGACAUCUUUCUUCUGGAGUAUAGACAGAUUCAGUGUUGGUUUGAUUUGAGUUUCCCCAGAUCUCUACAAAAUAUUUCACACAUUUAAUCCAUGAAUCUGAAAAUGUGUUUGAGUGAAAGAGAGACUAGAGAUGAACUAUCUGUUCAACAGUGAGAGUUUCUCUGACAGGAGGAAAAUCUUUAGACUCAAAUCAGCAAAGAAACACUGAAGAACCAGAACUGAACCAGACACCAAAUCCAGGAAUCAGAGGUUCAGUGAAUGUGGUGUUGAAGGUGUGGAGGAGGAUCAGUGAGUCAGAGGAGACUCUGUAGAAGGACAGAAUGCCAGCAGGACAGUCCACAUACACUGAUACUCUGUUAGAGACGGAGGAGGAGAGAUGAGUUUCUAUGUUAUUGUGCCAGACAGAGUAACCAUCAUCAGAGCAGCUCAGACUCCAGGAAUGAUCAUUAUAUCCAAACCAACAGUCUAUACUGUUUCCUUUCCUCUUGAUUCUUCUGUAACUCACUGAUAU